Molecule: long non-coding RNA, 759 nt
Organism: Photinus pyralis (common eastern firefly)
Lineage: Eukaryota; Metazoa; Arthropoda; Insecta; Coleoptera; Lampyridae
Exons: 2
Source: RefSeq, a predicted model, not a curated record
UAUUCAUACGAGGGAAUUUGGCGAAUGUUUCAGUACGGAUUCGACCUUUCCCGAUGAGACAGGUUUUCAUGAAAUCCUUCCAAAUCUUAGAUUUUAGAUUAAAAUCGAAUAAAUUUACGGAAACCUUCUCCCGGCACCUCCCAUUCAAGGGCGCUUCGGUGUAAACAUAUUUGUUUUUUUUUUCAUUUGUGUUGAAGUCAUGUUAAACUUUCCAUAGCAGUUUUGAUCAAUUGCCCUCGAAGACCAUUGUGGAUUGCAUUUUCACACGAAGGUAAUUUCGGGAAUAAUUAAUUAAAAGUCACCUAAACAAAACAAGAAUAAUUGGCGUCUUGCAAACCUUUACCACCAUAAAUAUUUAUGAUACUUAAACUUAAUUAGACAAUAUUCAUUUCGUCAGAGGACGACAUAUAAGGUAGCAAAUGCGUCCAUGGGUUGCACUGUGGUGUUACUUCGGUACUGAGCAAAAAUGAAAUACAUCUUCGUUAGCCUCCUGGCUUUGGCGCACUUCUACCAUGCGGUUGCACAGGAGCAGCCUUGUGAUUCCUAUUACGGCGGAGGCGAACAAUGCGACUGCGGACCACUUGCUGCAGUGUUUUGGGUUGGGUCGACUCAAGUUUGCGAAUUCAGAUGCAGAGAUCGAUAUGGCAGAAUGUUCUCAUGCGAAGAAGUGGGAAGGCUUUAGAUACAAUUCCGCAUCGAUCGAUCGUCAAAAGCGCAACGAUAAUAUUAUUUAAAUAAAAAAUACUAUAUUCUAGAAAA